RNAcentral lists this ribosomal RNA (253 nucleotides) under uncultured bacterium. RNAcentral's name for it is "partial 16S ribosomal RNA". It matches the Rfam family "Bacterial small subunit ribosomal RNA", at positions 524 to 776 of the family's 1533-position model. The record is from RNAcentral.
UACGGAGGGUGCAAGCGGUGUUCGGAAUCACUGGGCGUAAAGCGCGUGUAGGCGGUCUGCUAAGUCUGAUGUGAAAGCCCGGGGCUCACCCCCGGAAGUGCAUUGGAAACUGGCAGACUGGAGUCCCGGAGAGGAGGGUGGAAUUCCUGGUGUAGCGGUGAAAUGCGUAGAUAUCAGGAGGAACACCGGUGGCGAAGGCGGCCCUCUGGACGGUGACUGACGCUGAGACGCGAAAGCGUGGGGAGCAAACAGG